CCCAAAGUGUUGGAAUUACAGGCGUGAACCACCAUGCCUGGCCAGCUCUAUUUCUUUAAGCCUACAUGUUUUGCACUUGUUAAAAGUAUUUGAAUAUACAAUUACUCAGUUUCCCUUGUUUAUGCUUGAAUUUUGUAUAAUCUUAAAUAUUUUUUCCAAUCUAAGCUUUAUUUUAUCCCGUUUCUUCUAUAUUUGUAUAACUUUAGGUGGCUAUCUUCAUUGAAAAUUUUUUCUCAAAAGCCUUAAAAUAGAACAUAGUUCUUGGCAGCAAUUUAAAGUUAUUUGAGGAGAAGGGGAGACUUACAAUGAUGCUUCAAUUGAAGCAAACUAAAAAGUAAUGAAGCAAGACAGAGGAAAAAGCAGUAUUCACUUGAGCACAUCCCAAAAGAAUAACAUUUCAAAUGUAACUAGAAAAAAGAUUGCUGAAGUUUGCAAUACAGAAAUAAUUAUUAAGAUAGCUUUAAAGCCCUGCUCAGCUUUUGAAUGUUGGGAAUUGACCCAGAGGUGGCUGUAAACUAAGAUGGUUCCUUCAGUAAUGACCAUUUUUUCUUUUUCAAGAUGAUGAUUAUUCCCCACCUUCUAGGACACAAAGACCAACGAGCCACCACAGCCACCAGUCCCAGAACCCGCUAAUGCUGGGGAACGGAAAAUGAGGGAGUUCAACUCUGGCCCUCACAAUCCAGUGGAGGAGACGAAACUCAUCUGCCUCUGUCCCUCUGGGCACGCCUCAUGCCAGGUGCAUCUGUGGACAGGGGCCAUGCUCCUGGGCUUCCAAAGUUGGAGAAAGCUGCCAGGCUCAGAGCCACCUAAGCUGAAGAUUCCCUUGAGAACAAGUACUGUCCUGCGGUUUCAUGGCCUUUCUUCCAUUUGUGGUUCUUGCGAAGUGGAAUUUAAAUGACAUCUUAUCAAGAUCGAUAAAUACUAGUUUCCCAGUGCUGGAAUAUAGAAAAUGGAUGGACAAGUAAAUCCCACUCAGCACCCAUAGUCCAGGCAUGGGGACCUCAACACACCUGAGCCCCAAACAUCACCUUUCAUUCUGGACCUACCAUGAAAGACUUCUGAAUCCAGGAAGAGAAACUGACUGGGCAACAUGUUAUUCAGUGCAAGGAUUACAGGUAUGAGCCACCAUGCCUGGCCCCUACCCUGCCUAUUGAGAACCAAAAGAAGGAUCCAAAUUCUCCUUAGCUCAACUUGAGCCAUUUCCUGAUUGCUUCAUCAGCAAGGAGCUGGUUAUUGGGCUGUCCAGGCCUCCCAAGCAGCACAGAAAUGAGAAACAGGACCUUGCCCUGUCACUCAGGAUGGAGUUCAAUGGUCCUAUCAUGGCUCAUUAUAGCCUUAAACUCCCAGGCUCAAGCAAUCCUACCAUGUCAGCCUUCCCAGUAGCUGGGACUACAGGAAGUGACCUCACAAUGACUCAAGCUACCACAUACUGUUGAUUGUGAAAUGCCAGUUGAAGCAUAUGUCCUGCGAGCUUAGGGGUGCUACAAGUUGACCACUGCAGCAGUAAAGAUGACUCUGAAGAAUGGCAUGGGAUGGAUCCUUUCGAAUGCACUUGAGCAGCGGUCUCCAACCACAGGGCCACAGAGCUGGAGCUGGAUCUACCAUGAAAGACUUCUGAAUCCAGGAAGAGAGACUGACUGGGCAACAUGUUAUUCAGGGUCUCCCUCUGUUGUCCAAGGCUGGAGUGUAGUAGUGCUA
This 1698-nucleotide long non-coding RNA is filed under the name Homo sapiens (human). RNAcentral's name for it is "HSALNT0321723". The record is from RNAcentral. Lineage: Eukaryota; Metazoa; Chordata; Mammalia; Primates; Hominidae.